UACGUAGGGGGCAAGCGUUGUCCGGAAUUAUUGGGCGUAAAGAGCGUGUAGGCGGUCCGGUAAGUCAGCUGUGAAAGUCAAGGGCUCAACCCUUGAAAGCCGGUUGAUACUGUCGGGCUAGAGUCCGGAAGAGGCGAGUGGAAUUCCCGGUGUAGCGGUGAAAUGCGCAGAUAUCGGGAGGAACACCAAGGGCGAAGGCAGCGCGCUGGGACGGUACUGACGCUGAGACGCGAAAGCGUGGGGAGCGAACAGG
RNAcentral lists this ribosomal RNA (253 nucleotides) under uncultured bacterium. Its description in RNAcentral is "partial 16S ribosomal RNA". It matches the Rfam family "Bacterial small subunit ribosomal RNA", at positions 524 to 776 of the family's 1533-position model. The record is from RNAcentral.